Molecule: transfer RNA, 73 nt
Filed under: Sphaerodactylus townsendi
Lineage: Eukaryota; Metazoa; Chordata; Lepidosauria; Squamata; Sphaerodactylidae
Description: tRNA-Ala
Source: RNAcentral
GGAGGGGUGUGGCUCAGUGGCAGCCAUUUGUUUGGCAUGUAGAAGAUCCCAGGUUCAAUCCCCGGCAUCUCCA